RNAcentral lists this ribosomal RNA (490 nucleotides) under uncultured bacterium. RNAcentral's name for it is "partial 16S ribosomal RNA". It matches the Rfam family "Bacterial small subunit ribosomal RNA", at positions 28 to 507 of the family's 1533-position model. The record is from RNAcentral.
GAUGAACGCUAGCUACAGGCUUAACACAUGCAAGUCGAGGGGCAGCAUGGUCUUAGCUUGCUAAGGCCGAUGGCGACCGGCGCACGGGUGAGUAACACGUAUCCAACCUGCCGUCUACUCUUGGACAGCCUUCUGAAAGGAGGAUUAAUACAAGAUGGCAUCAUGAGUCCGCAUGUUCACAUGAUUAAAGGUAUUCCGGUAGACGAUGGGGAUGCGUUCCAUUAGAUAGUAGGCGGGGUAACGGCCCACCUAGUCUUCGAUGGAUAGGGGUUCUGAGAGGAAGGUCCCCCACAUUGGAACUGAGACACGGUCCAAACUCCUACGGGAGGCAGCAGUGAGGAAUAUUGGUCAAUGGGCGAGAGCCUGAACCAGCCAAGUAGCGUGAAGGACGACUGCCCUAUGGGUUGUAAACUUCUUUUAUAAAGGAAUAAAGUCGGGUAUGGAUACCCGUUUGCAUGUACUUUAUGAAUAAGGAUCGGCUAACUCCGUG